Ailuropoda melanoleuca (giant panda) is the source of this 1683-nucleotide long non-coding RNA. RefSeq lists it as uncharacterized. The record is from RefSeq and is a predicted model, not a curated record. NCBI's taxonomy places the organism in Eukaryota, Metazoa, Chordata, Mammalia, Carnivora, Ursidae. The transcript has 2 exons.
GAAUGUAAGUAUAAAAAUGAAAAUUUAAAAAGUUGGAAAAAAACCGAGUUGCUAAAGUAAGAAAUUGUUUGAAAAGGAAAAAGAAAAUUAAAAUGGAAAGAUUAAGGAAUCAUGAGAAAAAGCCAGGAAUUCUUUAUAGUAUUUUCCCCUCGUGCUGGAGUUCUGCAGUUCUGUGAGCUCUGUAAACUUGGUCUUACUUGGAUGUUCUUGCUGAUUUUCUGAGGGAAGGGCCUGUUGCGCUGAUUCUCAGUGGUUGUUUCCCUGGCUGUAUUGCACUGCCCUUGCCAGGGGGGCCUGGCUGAAUCAUCUGCUCAGGAUUGCUCUAUGUGGCUUUUGUUCCCUGAAGGCUUUCCGCACCACUUUAGAGGAUGAGAAUGGAAAUGUCAGCCUCCCAGUGUCCAGCCCUGGAGCUGGAUGCUGGCACCCUCUACUCUUCAGUGUGCCCUCACGGAGAAGCUGUCAAACACUUUUGUCUCCCUGGUUUCUGUCUGCACUCUGUGUACACCCAGCCUGUGACCGAGCAUUUUUAUCUCAGCCCCGCCACCCCCUUUGGAGUUUCCAAACUUUGUUGCCUCCUGUGGCAUGCAUUCACACCGCUCCUCCAGGGGGUGGGAGGGAGGUCUUGCCCUGGUUCUGCCGCUUGUUGGGCCACCACUCUGAGAGCAGUCGCCCAACCCUCGGCAGUUCGUGGUUUAUGGCAACACCCAGCUGAAAGCCCCCUCCUCCGCUCACUGGUUGCAGCCGGCUUCCCUGCUCAGAUGCCUGGGAACUCUCCCACACUCAGACAGCCGUGUUCUUUCUGUGAUUCUGGGGAUCCUGAGCCCAGGCUGUCCCACCUAGGAUUCCACCCUGCUUCUCCACCUGAGUGCCUUUCACGCAGGGAUGUCCCUCACCGGAGCAGACUUCUAAAAGUUCCGAUUUGCACGCGACUGCUGUAUCACUUUCUGAAAGCUGGCUUAUGGAUGCUCCCUCCCCUUACGGUUUAUCUUCCCAUAUAUCCCCUCGGAUUCGCAUCUCCGCACCCCCUACCUUGCAGAAAGCGGUGGCUUUUCUAUCUGUAGAAUUGCAACAGUUCUUUUCUUAGAUCUCAGGUUGAGUUCUAGGUGAAUUCCACGGAGUGGACGAAACUAUGGUCCCCUCCUCCUCCACCAUCUUCCUCCUUUUCCAGAAUUCUGUAUAUUCUAUAGACCAAUAUUAAAGGUACUUUUUAUCAGAUUCAUCUAAAUAGCAUUCCAUAUGUUUCUUCUCAGUUACCUAAGCUUAAAAUAAGUAGGGAUUUAUUUUAUUUUAUUUACGUGAUUAUCUAUUUAAGCAAUCCCUAAUUUAGUUGUAUUCUCUCCAAGUUUUGUUUGAAGACCACAUGUCAUAAGGUAUAUAUAAUUCCUAAAAUAAUAUCUUUUGUUUAACAUGACAUUAUAAAAAAUAUUUGAUUUAUUUCAGGUGGAGCAGGAGUUCGAAAAAAAUAUAUCUAGAGCACUAGAAGCAGGUGCUGCUGAAUUUCAAUCAGACUCAUCCUAUCAUACCUCCUCUUCAGAGGGCUUUUUACAGAACUUGAGGAGCCGUUAUAGGAUCUGAAAGAUAAAGAGUAAAAAUGUACUUACUGGAUGUUUAUAUAACAUUAUACUUGUUUCCUAUUAAACGUAUGCUGUGCAAAAAUCUUUAUUAAAAGAAGAUGUUUUUGAA